UAAGAAAGCUGAUCCCGGGACUAUUCUGAUACAUAAUACAGAAUGAUUUUGACUAAAUGACAAAUUGUGUACUCAAAGACACCAGUGGAAAUUAAGUGGAAGUGGGAGACUGAACCCAUGAAUCCCCUGAACAAACUACCAAGACAGGUAAAAGUAUCUGGGAUACUCCAGAUUACUGAUCUGCAGCCCCCAAUAAAUUGUGAUGCUUGUUGCUUCAUGGGAGAUCCCAACUCUGGAAUUUGAUCAUGUUUCCUAUCUUCGUGGCACUUCAUGGGGGACAAUGACUCCCCUGACCUCCAAGGUUGUUGAUUAAGGCUUCAUGGCACUCAAUACGUCACAGGAGACCAGAUCCAGACUCAGAAGGAAAAAAUUAAUUUGGAAUCUGGACAUAUGUUGUUAGCAUCCAAAAAAAAAAAACAAGAGUCAACAUAGGUGGUGUCCUGUUAGAGCUCAGAAAAUUUAAGAUUUUGGAGCAUUUUGGAAUUGUGGAUUAGGGAUACUCAAUCUGUAUAUAAAUUACAAAGAGCAACAGCCCAAGCACUGAUCCUUCAUUUGACUCCCCUUUUGAUGUCAUCUUAUACAGAAAAUGAUUCUCCCUCCAUGCCUUGUUGUUUCAACAUUUAAUCCAGAUCUUCACCCUUAAUCACUGGCUCUUACAGCUGAACUAACGAUCAGCCACUCAUAGGUUACCACAUCAAACACUUUCUGAAAGUGAGGAAUGUCUUAUGUUCUAAAGCAGUGCUUCUCAAUUUGAGUGCUGGUAGUCCCCUGUGGCUGUAGAUUUUUGUUCUAGUCUGUUGCACAAUCAGUGAAUCAUUUUUGCCUGUAAUUGAUCUCACUUUUUAAUCAUCACUGAUUAUUUUUCUUCUUCUCUUGUGCUAGGGUCCUAAUUUUUGAUCCUGAGGUGGUUUGUCAUAUGGUGGAUGCUGCAACGCGCUGUUAAAGUGCAUGGUCCCAAUCUCUCUCUCUCUCUCUUCUCUUAUUCUGCAUUAAAACAUCACAGUAGUGCAGCCGUGCAAUGGUCAGAUUAACAAUUACAAACAAUUUAGAAACGUUAGUUUUUUGCCAUUACUUUAAAUGUUGUACAAUAAAGAAGAGUUACUGCCCCAUCAAAAUGCCCUGUUUAAUCUCCUGAUGAAAAUAAAGUAAAGGGAAAGUUAAUUGCAGCAAUCUGCAACAACAAUUUAUUUCUUUUAUAGUCCACAAUCACACAAGGAAUUCUUAAAAGGGCUUUAACAAGCCCUUGUUUUUUGGCAGACCCCCAGCCCCUUGACUCCCUAAGAAGGAGGAGGAGGAGGAGGUUGGAAGCAUGCACUGAUAUAGUGUGUCGUCACACCUACCACACACCAAACCACCUCAGGAUCCCAAAUUAGGACCCAUGUGCCGUCAUGCAAUUGGUGACACCUCAAAACCACACUUGUUCGAAUGGAAAGGAACAAUGUGAGGUUUUUUUACAGCAGCUGGAGUGCCAGUCCUGCCACCAACCCCUGAGUUCUCCCUGAGUAGGAGGACCCUUAAGAAGACAAGAAAAUAAAACCCUUUUUGAUGAAACAAAUGGAAAAAAAUCUUGGGAAAUGCAACUCAGAGAGAAACCACCUUCCAGGUAGGUUGGGUGUGAAAUGCAUGUCAGAAAAUUGGGUAAAUAAAACACACAAAACAGAAUACAAGUAAUCUUGCACAUUGUGAUCCUUCUGAGGUUACCAUGAAAAUAUACUUUAGAUAGCAGCUCCAUCCUUCACUAAAGUAGACCUGAGAAUGAACAUUGACAUCCAGUUGCAGAGCUGGUCGUACUGCAUAUCCUUGAGUCCGUAAAAGGCAGAGCUUGUGGCAACCUCCAUUCAAUUGGAAAUGGAAACUUUGUUAAUUCUGGUGCAUCACUGUUUUCCUUUCCCUGA
Polypterus senegalus (gray bichir) is the source of this 1895-nucleotide long non-coding RNA. RefSeq lists it as uncharacterized. The record is from RefSeq and is a predicted model, not a curated record. The transcript has 3 exons. NCBI's taxonomy places the organism in Eukaryota, Metazoa, Chordata, Cladistia, Polypteriformes, Polypteridae.